Cryptotermes secundus is the source of this 391-nucleotide long non-coding RNA. RefSeq lists it as uncharacterized. The transcript has 3 exons. The record is from RefSeq and is a predicted model, not a curated record. NCBI's taxonomy places the organism in Eukaryota, Metazoa, Arthropoda, Insecta, Blattodea, Kalotermitidae.
UGCAACAAGCUGAAGUGCGAGUGUAGGCAGUAACGUUUCGUGAGUGCGUGAGUGCAUGAGUGACAUUGACGUGACGUCUUUUCUUAUUUUUGUGUCUUAAAAGUGAUUGCAUUGUGACAGUGGGUGGUGUUACAUGUUAUAUUACGAUCAGUGAGCAUAGGAAACUUAGAAUACGCAGAAACAUUGGAGUAUAGAUUACGAAACUUGGCCUCGUGUUUCAGGGCAGUUGCAAUGUGAAUGCGAUGUCAGCAUGUUAAGGGACUGAAAAAUAUUACGGAAAAUCUCUAAAGACAGCAGGCGCCAAGACCCACAACUGAAUCCAGAACUUCAGAAAACGAGGUCCUGGAAAGGAGGAGGAAUGGCUCUAAACCAAAUGGAAGCAAGUAUUUCG